Molecule: ribosomal RNA, 253 nt
Filed under: uncultured bacterium
Lineage: Bacteria
Description: partial 16S ribosomal RNA
Rfam family: Bacterial small subunit ribosomal RNA
Source: RNAcentral
GACGAACCGAGCGAACGUUGUUCGGAAUUACUGGGCGUAAAGCGUGCGCAGGCGGCUGCUCAAGUCAGGGGUGAAAGCCCAGAGCCCAACUCUGGAAUUGCCUUUGAGACUGAGUGGCUUGAGUACGGGAGAGGUGAGUGGAAUUCCCAGUGUAGAGGUGAAAUUCGUAGAUAUUGGGAAGAACACCGGUGGCGAAGGCGGCUCACUGGCCCGUAACUGACGCUCAUGCACGACAGCGUGGGGAUCAAACAGG